RNAcentral lists this ribosomal RNA (608 nucleotides) under Gonyaulax spinifera. RNAcentral's name for it is "LSU rRNA". It matches the Rfam family "Eukaryotic large subunit ribosomal RNA", at positions 45 to 639 of the family's 3401-position model. Lineage: Eukaryota; Dinophyceae; Gonyaulacales; Gonyaulacaceae. The record is from RNAcentral.
AGUAGGCAGGGAACACAAACUAAAUGGGAUUCUUUUAGUAAUGGCGAAUGACCAAGGAUGUGAUUAUGUUGUCAAGCAGGCCUUGGUCCUGCAUUGCACAGUGAUGGUGAAAUGCCAGCAGAAAGGUGUAUGUGAUUUUCUGGGUGGUCCAGCAUAGUAGGUGAAACUCCUUCUGUGGAUGCAUCGAUUUCUGCAUAGAGCAUGCACCUCUGAGUCGUGCUUCUUGGGACUGAAGUGCAAAUGUGAUGGUAAGGCUCAUCUAAAUCUCAAUAUUGACUUGAGGCCAAUAGUAAAUAAGUACCAUGAGGGAACUGUGAAAAGAACUUUGAGAAGAGAGUUAAAAGUCCUUGAAACUGCUGUGGGUGAAAGCAAAUGGGAGUUUGAGAAGUAGCAAGGUUGCUGUGUCAUUGAAUGUCAACCCUGCUAUGAGCUUAGUACUGCGGGGUCUCUGGCACCUUUGUCACUGUGUUCCUUGCUCUGUCUGCUUACACUCUGCCUUUGCACAUGUGCGAAUUGUUGGGGAUUGCUAGUGUUAUGCUGCAAGCUGAUGUGCAGACAUGGCAAAUGGCUGAAUGUAUCGAUGCAAAUCAGCAGCUGCACUGUAUCUC